Molecule: ribosomal RNA, 506 nt
Filed under: Salmonella enterica subsp. enterica serovar Saintpaul
Lineage: Bacteria; Pseudomonadati; Pseudomonadota; Gammaproteobacteria; Enterobacterales; Enterobacteriaceae
Description: bacterial SSU rRNA
Rfam family: Bacterial small subunit ribosomal RNA
Source: RNAcentral
AAAUUGAAGAGUUUGAUCAUGGCUCAGAUUGAACGCUGGCGGCAGGCCUAACACAUGCAAGUCGAACGGUAGCACAGAGAGCUUGCUCUCGGGUGACGAGUGGCGGACGGGUGAGUAAUGUCUGGGAAACUGCCUGAUGGAGGGGGAUAACUACUGGAAACGGUGGCUAAUACCGCAUAACGUCGCAAGACCAAAGAGGGGGACCUUCGGGCCUCUUACCAUCAGAUGUGCCCAGAUGGGAUUAGCUAGUUGGUGAGGUAACGGCUCACCAAGGCGACGAUCCCUAGCUGGUCUGAGAGGAUGACCAGCCACACUGGAACUGAGACACGGUCCAGACUCCUACGGGAGGCAGCAGUGGGGAAUAUUGCACAAUGGGCGCAAGCCUGAUGCAGCCAUGCCGCGUGUAUGAAGAAGGCCUUCGGGUUGUAAAGUACUUUCAGCGGGGAGGAAGGUGUUGUGGUUAAUAACCGCAGCAAUUGACGUUACCCGCAGAAGAAGCACCGGCU